AUGAAAAUUUACAUUGGAACCAAUCUUCCUGCCGAAAAUUUUGAGAACUUAAACUUCCCUCUCUCUUUCCAAAACGUUGAACUCUGCAUCCUCAUUCCCUCCCAUCAGCGCUGCCCUGUUUUCCCUCAAUAUUCCACCCUAAUUAGCAGCUCAACAUUUUGGAAUUAUUUCUCAUCAUGCUCCGAUCAAGUCUCCCACUCCAAAAGAGAGAAGCUGCUGUAGCCAACCUGCAGCCAUGGGUGGAACAUUCGUCGUUCUCGAAAGCACAGACCGAAUGCACCACGAGAUUGACAGCCGAUUGCUCCAACAUUGAGCAACUGGGAUGAGAGGAAGGAACCAGGAAACUCAAGCUUGCCUCUACAAAUGGAAGAUCUUAGCUACCACGUAUCAGAGUUUCUUCUGGGUAAUUUCAUCUUAGUACUGACAUGUCUUUGAGCUUGCUUCUCUUCCCUGCUUGUAUUUAAAGUAUAGAUAUGGUUUUUUUUUGUUAUUUUGUUAAACAUGGGUAUAAAGUAUAUGCUGUUAGUUUGAUAGAUCUUAGGAAACGUAAAGAAAAAUCCAGAGUCCUUGAUGUUGAUUACAGUGAUGAAGAAUUUACAGAAACUAGGUUAUGUGCUUAAGGUGAGUGGUUCUUACAUUUCUGUAUUAUUUUUAUGAUCACUGUUGUAUUACCACAAUUGUUUCUCAAUUUAUGAGAUAAACAUGUUUAAACACUUAUUUAAUGUGUAGUUGAAGUUAGGUGUGAAAGGGGUGUGUUGGUAAAAGUUUACGCACUGAUCCUUCACUAAGAUAUAUCAUUUUAUAAAUAUAAUUGGGGGCAUCAAGUUUUUUAAUGUUCUGAACAAUAUUUUCCAGCCCAUUAGAUUUCAAGUAAUUUUGCUUCUUUUCUCCUCCUUCUUGCUACUUUGGUGUAGCCUUUAUAUACAUCCUAUGUAGUGUGUACUCAGGUUAUGCCUCUUUGGGCUUCUAAUGAAGUUUGCAUUAAAUAUAAAUAGUGUUUUAAGCCUCCAUUUCUGAAAGGCUUAUGCAUUCUCACAAUGACAGAUUUUUGCAACAGCGUGGGACUAUGCUGUAGCUAUGCAUGUCAUUGGACCACUGCUAAUAAAGUAUGCAAGGUAGAAUGAUUCUGGAGGCUCCUUUAAAUUUUUGUUUUUGUGUGGUAAUUCCACUGAUGGGUAUGAUGAUUCUUUACACGUAUCAGUUGCUCAUUGGUGCAUUAUUAUAGAUUGUGCUCUUACUGUUAUUAUAUCACUCUUUUACUAUUCAGCUACUCUUUAAACUUGCAAGUGCCACUCUUUCCAAACUUGUGAAUGACACUCUUUUACCUUAUUCAGCAUAAUGGCUAGCAAAAGUCCAAUAAGCUAAACGAUUGCAGCUCAAUGUUGUAAAGUUCGCCUCAACUUUUUAAUUGGAUGAGAUUCAUUUCAAGUAGUCUAUGAUUUGAUCACAAUGUAUAUAUGCAAUUUUCUGCUUAAAUUUAGUUUCUAAUUCAGUCUAUUUGGCUUUAGUGGUUUGUGAAACUGAACAACGUAAUGUCUCUUUUGUUUUCAAAGCCUAGUAAGGAAAUUCUUGAAGCACUUGGUUCUAGAAACUUACCAUUUGUAGUACCUUAAUAAAUAUAUACAUGCAUUCACAAAAUAUAAUUAUUUUCUUUUUUGUUGAAUGAGUAAUAUUGAGAAAGGAGAAUAAUCUAUUGAAGCCUUGGAAAGAUGAAGAUAAUUUAUCAUGUUAUGGUGCCAUUCAAAUUUACCUUGUGUAUGGUCAAUCUUUUUAUAUUUGUAACUCAUUCCAUGACAUCAUUAUCUAGCUUGAGUAUUCUCUGUGGAUUGUGAAGUAAUUCUCUAAUUUUUCAUGUAUGGGUUGGCUUCAUGUCUACGACUUCUUCAUGGUUCUCUAAGGCACUAUGGCUUGAAUAGUGAUGUGAAUGGUGUGUUAUUGAUGGCUGACAUUGUUCUCUAUGCUUCCAACCAAGAUUUACAGGGUUUUCCUUAUUUGCUUAUCUGAGCCAUGAUCUUUUAAUAUCCCUGUUAUUGCAUCUGAUUUUCCAUCUUCAUAAAAUAUGUGAGUUCAUUCAAGUUGUUCCCCACUUGCUUUAAUGAUUGCUUUAGUUUACAGGGCCCCUACAUUUCUCUUUCUUACAUUUGUGAGGUGGUCCUUGAAAGAACAGGUUGUCUUUUUCAAAUUGGGUUUCUUCUCUAUGUUUCUUUUUAUAGUUAAUAUUUGCUUUCUUAUGCUACAAGUUCUGCAGUAGCUUAGGAAAAAAGCUUUUGAAGCAUGCUAAGUUAACAGAAGACCAAGGAGUAUGAAAAAACAGAAGACCAAGCGUUGUAGUUUAUUGUUGUGUAUUGGAGUUUGAUUAAAUCAAUGUAUUUUUUUGUAAUGAUCUUUGCAAAUUA
This is a long non-coding RNA of Carya illinoinensis, 2396 nucleotides long. RefSeq lists it as uncharacterized. The record is from RefSeq and is a predicted model, not a curated record. The transcript has 2 exons. NCBI's taxonomy places the organism in Eukaryota, Viridiplantae, Streptophyta, Magnoliopsida, Fagales, Juglandaceae.